GACUCGGUGGCGGACGGGAGUCUGCACCUGCUUUCCAUACUCGGUUCUAAUCAAAAUAAAGCAGGAGAAUCCCAGUUCAAUUCUGGGUCGAGUCA
Mycena haematopus is the source of this 95-nucleotide non-coding RNA. NCBI's taxonomy places the organism in Eukaryota, Fungi, Basidiomycota, Agaricomycetes, Agaricales, Mycenaceae. The record is from the annotation of a GenBank genome assembly.